Molecule: ribosomal RNA, 536 nt
Filed under: Pediococcus pentosaceus
Lineage: Bacteria; Bacillati; Bacillota; Bacilli; Lactobacillales; Lactobacillaceae
Description: bacterial SSU rRNA
Rfam family: Bacterial small subunit ribosomal RNA
Source: RNAcentral
AACGAACUUCCGUUAAUUGAUUAUGACGUACUUGUACUGAUUGAGAUUUUAACACGAAGUGAGUGGCGAAUGGGUGAGUAACACGUGGGUAACCUGCCCAGAAGUAGGGGAUAACACCUGGAAACAGAUGCUAAUACCGUAUAACAGAGAAAACCGCAUGGUUUUCUUUUAAAAGAUGGCUCUGCUAUCACUUCUGGAUGGACCCGCGGCGUAUUAGCUAGUUGGUGAGGUAAAGGCUCACCAAGGCAGUGAUACGUAGCCGACCUGAGAGGGUAAUCGGCCACAUUGGGACUGAGACACGGCCCAGACUCCUACGGGAGGCAGCAGUAGGGAAUCUUCCACAAUGGACGCAAGUCUGAUGGAGCAACGCCGCGUGAGUGAAGAAGGGUUUCGGCUCGUAAAGCUCUGUUGUUAAAGAAGAACGUGGGUAAGAGUAACUGUUUACCCAGUGACGGUAUUUAACCAGAAAGCCACGGCUAACUACGUGCCAGCAGCCGCGGUAAUACGUAGGUGGCAAGCGUUAUCCGGAUUUAUUG